CCUACGGGAGGCAGCAGUGAGGAAUAUUGGUCAAUGGGCGCGAGCCUGAACCAGCCAAGUAGCGUGAAGGAUGACUGCCCUACGGGUUGUAAACUUCUUUUAUAAAGGAAUAAAGUGAGGCACGUGUGCCUUUUUGUAUGUACUUUAUGAAUAAGGAUCGGCUAACUCCGUGCCAGCAGCCGCGGUAAUACGGAGGAUCCGAGCGUUAUCCGGAUUUAUUGGGUUUAAAGGGAGCGUAGAUGGGUUGUUAAGUCAGUUGUGAAAGUUUGCGGCUCAACCGUAUAAUUGCAAUUGAUACUGGCUGUCUUGAGUACAGUUGAGGUAGGCGGAAUUCGUGGUGUAGCGGUGAAAUGCUUAGAUAUCACGAAGAACUCCGAUUGCGAAGGCAGCUUACUAAACUGCCACUGACAUUGAUGCUCGAAAGUGUGGGUAUCAAACAGGAUUAGAUACCCCAGUAGUC
RNAcentral lists this ribosomal RNA (460 nucleotides) under uncultured bacterium. RNAcentral describes it as "partial 16S ribosomal RNA". It matches the Rfam family "Bacterial small subunit ribosomal RNA", at positions 338 to 795 of the family's 1533-position model. The record is from RNAcentral.